AACGAACGCUGGCGGCAGGCUUAACACAUGCAAGUCGAACGCGAAAUCACCUUCGGGUGGUGGAGAGUGGCAGACGGGUGAGUAACGCGUGGGAACCUACCUAGUGGUACGGAAUAACUCAGGGAAACUUGGGCUAAUACCGUAUGUGCCCGAAAGGGGAAAGAUUCAUCGCCACUAGAUGGGCCCGCGUCGGAUUAGCUUGUUGGUGAGGUAACGGCGCACCAAGGCGACGAUCCGUAGCUGGUCUGAGAGGAUGAUCAGCCACACUGGGACUGAGACACGGCCCAGACUCCUACGGGAGGCAGCAGUGGGGAAUAUUGGACAAUGGGCGCAAGCCUGAUCCAGCCAUGCCGCGCGAGUGAUGAAGGCCCUAGGGUUGUAAAGCUCUUUCGGCGGGGACGAUAAUGACGGUACCCGCAGAAGAAGCCCCGGCUAACUUCGUGCCAGCCGCCGCAGUAA
This 459-nucleotide ribosomal RNA is filed under the name uncultured bacterium. RNAcentral describes it as "partial 16S ribosomal RNA". It matches the Rfam family "Bacterial small subunit ribosomal RNA", at positions 29 to 523 of the family's 1533-position model. The record is from RNAcentral.